This 300-nucleotide ribosomal RNA is filed under the name uncultured bacterium. RNAcentral's name for it is "bacterial SSU rRNA". It matches the Rfam family "Bacterial small subunit ribosomal RNA", at positions 114 to 431 of the family's 1533-position model. The record is from RNAcentral.
CACGUAAGAAUCUACCUUUAGGACGGGGAUAACUUCUGGAAACGGAUGCUAAUACCCGAUAUGCUGUGGAGUGAAAUGAAUUUCGCCUAAAGAUGAUCUUGCGUCUGAUUAGCUAGGUAGGGUGGUAAUGGCGCCCUAUGGCGACGAUCAGUAGCUGGUCUGAGAGGAUGGACAGCCACAUUGGGGCUGAGACACGGACCAGACUCCUACGGGAGGCGGCAGUGAGGAAUAUUGGACAAUGGAGGCAACUCUGAUCCAGCCAUGCCGCGUGCAGGAAGACUGCUCUAUGGGUUGUAAACU